GUCUGUGGCCAUACUACCCUGAACGCGCCCGAUCUCAUCUGAUCUUGGAAGCUAAGUAGGGUCGGGCCUGGUUAGUACUUAGAUGGGAAGAAUGCUGACU
RNAcentral lists this ribosomal RNA (100 nucleotides) under Chinchilla lanigera (long-tailed chinchilla). The record is from RNAcentral. Lineage: Eukaryota; Metazoa; Chordata; Mammalia; Rodentia; Chinchillidae.